Molecule: ribosomal RNA, 301 nt
Filed under: uncultured bacterium
Lineage: Bacteria
Description: partial 16S ribosomal RNA
Rfam family: Bacterial small subunit ribosomal RNA
Source: RNAcentral
CAGUCGCCGCGGGAAUACGUAGGUGGCAAGCGUUGUCCGGAAUUAUUGGGCGUAAAGCGCGCGCAGGUGGUUUAAUAAGUCUGAUGUGAAAGCCCACGGCUCAACCGUGGAGGGUCAUUGGAAACUGUUAAACUUGAGUGCAGGAGAGAAAAGUGGAAUUCCUAGUGUAGCGGUGAAAUGCGUAGAGAUUAGGAGGAACACCAGUGGCGAAGGCGGCUUUUUGGCCUGUAACUGACACUGAGGCGCGAAAGCGUGGGGAGCAAACAGGAUUAGAUACCCCGGUAGUCCCUGUCUCUUAUAU